AUUGAACGCUGGCGGCAGGCCUAACACAUGCAAGUCGAACGAGUGGCGGACGGGUGAGUAAUGUCUGGGAAACUGCCCGAUGGAGGGGGAUAACUACUGGAAACGGUAGCUAAUACCGCAUACCAUCGGAUGUGCCCAGAUGGGAUUAGCUAGGAGGUGGGGUAACGGCUCACAUAGGCGAGGAUCCCUAGCUGGUCUGAGAGGAUGACCAGCCACAUGUGAACUGAGACACGGUCCAGACUCCUACGGGAGGCAGCAGUGGGGAAUAUUGCACAAUGGGCGCAAGCCUGAUGCAGCCCUGCCGCUUGUAUGAAGAAGUCCUUCGGGUUGUAAAGUACUUUCAGCGAGGAGGCGUUACUCGCAGAAGAAGCACCGGCUAACUCCGUGCCAGCAGCCGCGGUAAUUC
RNAcentral lists this ribosomal RNA (406 nucleotides) under uncultured bacterium. Its description in RNAcentral is "partial 16S ribosomal RNA". It matches the Rfam family "Bacterial small subunit ribosomal RNA", at positions 30 to 526 of the family's 1533-position model. The record is from RNAcentral.